GACAAAGACUGUUGCAAUGGAGGUGCGAUACCAUGAAUCCUGUUACCGAGAUUAUACCAGGUUCAUAACCAAGUAAACAGCAACAGAAACUGCAACAAGGGACGAAGAAACACUUUGCUAAAAUUACACAUUUCGAAGACAACCCUAUGCUGAGACCUACAAACUCUUUUGUGAACAAGUGAGCCGUCAAAGGAUUAUCGUCGACAAAGAAGUGCUCAGAAUGGACAAGCUAAGAAGGUUGUUCGUGGACACCGUGAAGAACCAUGAGGAUCUUGAUGCUUCAGACUACAGGCAGGAUAUGCUGGCAUCCAUACAUUCACAGGUUGUGACUUGGCCAGCGGCUUUCAUGGCAAGGGCAAAACAAAGACAUUUUCUCUUGCUUGUCAGCAAGAAGAAUACCUGACUGUGUUUACAGAUCUGGGUAGUAGUUUUAACCUUGACCAGCCUACAUUUGAGGCAUUGAGCAAAUAUGUGUGCCAUCAGUAUGGCCAGUCAACUGCCAAAAAUGUCAACGAUGCAAGAUACAAGGCAUUCUGUAUGGCAUCGUCAGCUUAGCCAGAACUGUCCAUUCCUCCAACAAGUGAUGCUCUCUUCCAACACAGCAAAAGGGCAAACUACCAAGCAGCAGUAAUGCGACAUUCUCUGACUGGUAUGAUGUGUGCCCCUUCACCAAUUGGCAAUGGAUGGGACAUUGAGGAUGCUGAAUUAACAGUAGAACGGAUGACUAGAAAUUCUGCUCCAGAUAGUGUGCUACAGGUAGUCCACUGUGGUUGCAAGAUAAGCAAUUGUGAGACUGAAAGAUGUUCAUGCUUGUCUGCAAAAAUGUCUUGUACAGAUUUAUGCCACUGCCAGAACUGUGAAAAUAUUUCAAAGGAAACAAAGAGGCACAUGGGAUGAUGACACUGAUGAUAGUGAUAAUGAUGAGUAAUCACAUGUAAACUCUGUCCUAUGUUUUGUUAUAUUAUCAAGAUGUUACUCUCCAUUUUAACACUUUUAAAACAAAAAAAAAAUGUCUGUAUUCCCUUUUCCCAAAACAGACCUUUGUUCAAUUUGACUGCCAAAAAAGAUGGAUGUUCCAAUGAAGUGCCAUGGUUUUAUUUGAUAUACUGUAUGUAUAUAUACAGUAUUUAUUUAUUUUUUUGAGUGUGUGGGGUGGGGAUGUAAAUUCCAUGCUGUGACAUAAUCUGACACUUUAAU
This is a long non-coding RNA of Corythoichthys intestinalis (scribbled pipefish), 1197 nucleotides long. RefSeq lists it as uncharacterized. The record is from RefSeq and is a predicted model, not a curated record. NCBI's taxonomy places the organism in Eukaryota, Metazoa, Chordata, Actinopteri, Syngnathiformes, Syngnathidae. The transcript has 3 exons.